GUAUCUUAGUGGUGUUCUGUAUAUUUUCUGAAUUUGAAUGUUGGUCUGUCUUGCUAGGUUGGGGAAGUUCUCUUGUAUAAUAUCCUGACGUGUGUUAUCCAGCUUGGUUCCAUUCUCCCCAUUACUUUAAGGCACACCAAUCAGUUGUAGGUUUGGUGUUUUCACAUAGUCCUCUAUUUCUUGUAGGCUUUGUUCAUUCCUUUUUUUUCUCUCUCUCUAAUCUUGUCUGCGUGCCUUAUUUCAGCAAGGUAGACAUCAAUCUCUGAUGUUAUUUCUUCCACUUGUUCAAUUUGCCUGUUUAUACUUGUGUAUGCUUCACGAUGUUCUCAUGCUGUGUUUUUGAGCUCCAUCACGUUAUUUAUGUUCCCCUCUAAACUGGUUAUUCAAUUAGCAGUUCCUGUAACCUUUUUUCAAGGUUCUUAGCUUUCUUGCAUUGGGUUAGAACAUGCUACUUUAGCUCAGAGUAUGUUGUUAUUCCCACCUUCAGUAGCCUACUUCUGUCAAUUCAUCAAUCUCAUUAUCCAUCCAGUUUUGCACCCUUGCUGAAGAGGUGUUGCGAUCCUUUGGAGGAGAAGAGGCAUUCUGGCUUUUGGAAUGUUCAGCGAUUUUCCUCUUUUUUUUUUUUCUCAUCUUCUUGGAUUUAUUUAUCUUUGAUCUUUGAGUCCUACUACCCUUGGAUGGGUUUUUCUGGGUAGUCUUUUUGUUGAUGUUACUGUUGCUUUCUGUUUGUUAGUUUUUCUUCUAACAGUCAGACCUCUCUUCUGCACGUCUGCUGCAAUUUGCUGGAGGUUUACUCCAGACCCUGUUCACCUGGGUAUCACCAGCGGAGGCUACAGAACAACAAAGAUUGCUGCCUGCUCCUUCCUCUGGAAGCUUCUUCCUAGAGGGGCACUGUCCUGAUGCCAGCUGGAACUCUCCUGUAUGAGGUGUCUGUCAACCCCUGUUGAGAGGUAUCUCCAAGUCAGGAGACGUGAGGUUCAGAAACCCACUUGAGAAGGAGUCUGUCCCUUAAUAGAGCUGAUGUACUGUGCUGGGAGAAUUCCCCUUUUCAGGAUCAGCUGCUCUCUUUAUUGCUGGCAGGCAGAAAAGAUUAAGCUCACUGAAUCUGUGACUGCAGCCACCUUUCCACCCAAGUGCUCUGUCGCAGGAAGAUGAGAGUUUUAUCUGUAAGCCCCUGGCUGGUGUUGCUGUGUUUCCUGCAGAGAUGCCCAGCCCAGUGAGGAGGAAUCUAGAGAAGCAGUCUCACCACAGCUGCUUUUCCAUGCAGUGGUAGAUUCCACCCAGUCCAAACCUUCCAGUCUCCUUAGCACCAUCAGGGGAAAACUGCUUACUAAAGCCUCAGUAAUGACAGUCACCUCUCCCCCCACCAAGCUUCAGUGUCCCAGAUCGACUCCAGACUGCUGUGCUGGCAGUGAGAAUUUCAAACCAGUGGUUCUUAGCUUGCUGGGCUCUGUGGGAGUGGAAUUUGCUGAGCAGGACCACUCAGCUCACUGGCUUCAGCCCACUUUACAGGUGAGUGGAUAGUUCUGGCUCUCUGGAGUUCAAGGUGCUGUUGGAGUAUAAAAGGACCCUGAUGCUCUUGCCAGGCAUCCUCAUGGAAGUGACAUCGUCUUUAAACCCUGCGUGGCAAUCCCUGACGCACUGCCGCGAUGCCCAGGGAAGACACGGCGACCUGGAAGUCCAACUACUUCCUUAAGAUCAUCCAGCUAUUGGAUGAUUAUCCGAAAUGUUUCAUCGUGGGAGCAGACAAUGUGGGCUCCAAGCAGAUGCAGCAGAUCCACAUGUCCCUUUGCGGGAAGGCCGUGGUGCUGAUGGGCAAGAACACCAUGAUGCAGUUUCCCACCUCUGGAGAAACUGCUGCCUCAUAUCCAGGGAAAUGUGGACUUUGUGUUCACCAAGGAGGACCUCACUGAGAUCGGGUAUAUGUUGCUGGCCAAUAAGGUGCCAGCUGCUGCCCAUGCUAGUGCCAUUGCCCCAUAUGAAGUCACUGUGCCAGCCCAGACUGGACUUGGGCCUGAGAAGACCUCCUUUUUCCAGGCUUUAGGUAUCACCACUAAAAUCUCCAGGAGCACCAUUGAAAUCCUGAGUGAUGUGCAGCUGAUCAAGACUGGAGACAAAGUGGGAGCCAGUGCAUUGUUGAACAUGCUCAACAUCUCCCCCUUCUCCUUUGGGCUGGUCAUCCAGCAGGUGUUCAACAAUGGCAACAUCUACAAUUCUGAAGUGCUUGACAUCAGAGGAAACUCUGCAUUCUCGCUUCCUGGAGGGUGUCCGCAAUGUUGCCAGUGUCUGUCUGCAGAUUGGCUAUGCAACUGUCGCAUCAGUACCCCAUUCUAUCAUCAACGGGUACAAAUGAGUCCUGGCCUUGUCUGUGGAGACGGAUUACACCUUCCCACUUGCUGAAAAGAUCAAGGCCUUUUUGGCUGAUCCAUCUGCCUUUGUGGCUGCUGCCCCUGUGGCCGCUGCCACCAUGGCUGCUCCUGCUGCUGCUGCUGCAGCCCCAGCUAAGGCUGAAGCCAAGGAAGAUUCGGAGGAGUCGGACGAGGAUAUGGGAUUUGGUCUCUUUGACUAA
This is an RNA transcript of Macaca mulatta (Rhesus monkey), 2569 nucleotides long. It is a transcript of the gene named large ribosomal subunit protein uL10 pseudogene, with no coding region annotated. The record is from RefSeq and is a predicted model, not a curated record. NCBI's taxonomy places the organism in Eukaryota, Metazoa, Chordata, Mammalia, Primates, Cercopithecidae.